UGGGGAAUUUUGGACAAUGGGCGCAAGCCUGAUCCAGCCAUGCCGCGUGAGUGAAGAAGGCCUUCGGGUUGUAAAGCUCUUUCGGACGGGAAGAAAUGGCGGGCUCUAACAUAGCCUGUCGAUGACGGUACCGUAAGAAGAAGCACCGGCUAACUACGUGCCAGCAGCCGUGGUAAUACGUAGGGGGCAAGCGUUGUCCGGAUUUACUGGGUGUAAAGGGUGCUCAGGCGGAUUUGUAAGUCAGAGGUGAAAUCUUACAGCUUAACUGUGAAACUGCCUUUGAUACUGCAAGCCUAGAGUAUGGAAGAGAGUGAUGGAAUAUCUGGUGUAGCAGUGAAAUGCGUAGAUAUCAGAUAGAACACCAAUGGCGAAGGCAGUCACUUGGUCCAUUACUGACGCUAAAGCACGAAAGCGUGGGUAGCAAACA
RNAcentral lists this ribosomal RNA (427 nucleotides) under uncultured bacterium. RNAcentral's name for it is "bacterial SSU rRNA". It matches the Rfam family "Bacterial small subunit ribosomal RNA", at positions 355 to 774 of the family's 1533-position model. The record is from RNAcentral.